Molecule: long non-coding RNA, 337 nt
Organism: Daphnia magna
Lineage: Eukaryota; Metazoa; Arthropoda; Branchiopoda; Diplostraca; Daphniidae
Exons: 3
Source: RefSeq, a predicted model, not a curated record
UCAUUUCAAGCAGACGCCAAGCAUCAAUAGCGUGGUCUGUGCUAUGUGAUUGCAUUGUUACUGCUGGAGUGAGCAAUUUCAGAUUGCGUCAUGAUGGCGUGCCCCGUUAGCGUCGUGAUCGGCGUGCCCUGUUAGCGUCAUGAUUGGCGUGCCCUGUGUUAGCGUCAUGAUUGGCGUGCCCUGUGUUAACACGAUAUGUUUUAUUUAUUCGUGUGCUGUGAUUUCAACACCAGCAUUGGUCAGAGGAGACUCGCAAGCAGCAAGGAAAGGAGGCUGCUCUUCAUCAGCCAGAAGUUUGAUACAAAGGAGUACACAAGUUGAUUUCAUUACUUUUAAG